AACGCGAAGAACCUUACCUAGAUUUGACAUCCUCUGAAUACUGCAGAAAUGUAGUCGGCUCGCAAGAGACAGAGAGACAGGUGCUGCAUGGCUGUCGUCAGCUCGUGUUGUGAAAUGUUGGGUUAAGUCCCGCAACGAGCGCAACCCCUGCCUUUGGUUGCCAUCAUUCAGUUGGGCACUCCAGAGGGACUGCCGUCGUUAAGACGGAGGAAGGUGGGGAUGACGUCAAGUCCUCAUGGCCUUUAUAUCUAGGGCGACACACGUGAUACAAUGGUAGGUACAAAGGGUAGCGAAGUGGUAACACGAAGCCAAUCUCAAAAAGCCUAUCUCAGUUCGGAUUGGAGUCUGCAACUCGACUCCAUGAAGCUGGAAUCGCUAGUAAUCGCGGAUCAGCACGCCGCGGUGAAUACGUUCCCGGGCCUUGUACACACCGUACGUC
This 439-nucleotide ribosomal RNA is filed under the name uncultured bacterium. RNAcentral describes it as "bacterial SSU rRNA". It matches the Rfam family "Bacterial small subunit ribosomal RNA", at positions 958 to 1398 of the family's 1533-position model. The record is from RNAcentral.